This 467-nucleotide ribosomal RNA is filed under the name uncultured bacterium. RNAcentral's name for it is "partial 16S ribosomal RNA". It matches the Rfam family "Bacterial small subunit ribosomal RNA", at positions 29 to 507 of the family's 1533-position model. The record is from RNAcentral.
AGUGAACGCUGGCGGUAGGCCUAACACAUGCAAGUCGAACGGCAGCACAGUAAGAGCUUGCUCUUACGGGUGGCGAGUGGCGGACGGGUGAGGAAUACAUCGGAAUCUACUUUUUCGUGGGGGCUAACGUAGGGAAACUUACGCUAAUACCGCAUACGACCUACGGGUGAAAGCAGGGGAUCUUCAGACCUUGGGCAAUUGGAUGAGCCGAUGUCGGAUUAGCUAGUUGGCAGGGUAAAGGCCUACGAAGGCGACGAUACGUAGCUGGGCAGAGAGGAUGAUCAGUCACACUGGGAAUGAGACACGGCCCAGAAUCCGACGGGAGGCAGCAGUGGGGAAUAUUGGAAAAUGGGCGAAAGCCUGAUCCAGCAAUGCCGCGUGAGUGAUGAAGGACUUAGGGUUGUAAAGCUCUUUUACCCGGGAUGAUAAUGACAGUACCGGGAGAAUAAGCGCCGGCUAACUCCGUG